This 79-nucleotide transfer RNA is filed under the name Agrobacterium tumefaciens. RNAcentral's name for it is "tRNA-Gln(ttg)". The record is from RNAcentral. Lineage: Bacteria; Pseudomonadati; Pseudomonadota; Alphaproteobacteria; Hyphomicrobiales; Rhizobiaceae.
GGCAACAAGCGUAACGGCUGCGUUGCCGGUUUUUUGAUAACCGUAGGACGCCUUCGCCGGAGCAACCCGGCUGUUGAUC